Molecule: ribosomal RNA, 646 nt
Filed under: uncultured bacterium
Lineage: Bacteria
Description: bacterial SSU rRNA
Rfam family: Bacterial small subunit ribosomal RNA
Source: RNAcentral
CGCGGCCUAUCAGCUUGUUGGUGGGGUAAUGGCCUACCAAGGCGGCGACGGGUAGCCGGCCUGAGAGGGUGUACGGCCACAUUGGGACUGAGAUACGGCCCAGACUCCUACGGGAGGCAGCAGUGGGGAAUAUUGCACAAUGGGCGCAAGCCUGAUGCAGCGACGCCGCGUGGGGGAUGAAGGCCUUCGGGUUGUAAACUCCUUUCGCUAGGGACGAAGCUUUGUUGUGACGGUACCUAGAUAAGAAGCACCGGCUAACUACGUGCCAGCAGCCGCGGUAAUACGUAGGGUGCGAGCGUUGUCCGGAAUUACUGGGCGUAAAGGGCUCGUAGGUGGUUUGUCGCGUCGUCUGUGAAAUUCUGGGGCUUAACUCCGGGCGUGCAGGCGAUACGGGCAUAACUUGAGUGCUGUAGGGGUAACUGGAAUUCCUGGUGUAGCGGUGAAAUGCGCAGAUAUCAGGAGGAACACCGAUGGCGAAGGCAGGUUACUGGGCAGUUACUGACGCUGAGGAGCGAAAGCAUGGGUAGCGAACAGGAUUAGAUACCCUGGUAGUCCAUGCCGUAAACGGUGGGCGCUAGGUGUGAGGGUCUUUCUACGACUUUCGUGCCGUAGCUAACGCAUUAAGCGCCCCGCCUGGGGAGUACGG